CAGCCGCCACGGUAAUACGGAGGGAGCUAGCGUUGUUCGGAAUUACUGGGCGUAAAGCGCGCGUAGGCGGUUACUCAAGUCAGAGGUGAAAGCCCGGGGCUCAACCCCGGAACUGCCUUUGAAACUAGGUGACUAGAAUCUUGGAGAGGUCAGUGGAAUUCCGAGUGUAGAGGUGAAAUUCGUAGAUAUUCGGAAGAACACCAGUGGCGAAGGCGACUGACUGGACAAGUAUUGACGCUGAGGUGCGAAAGCGUGGGGAGCAAACAGGAUUAGAUACCCCCGUAGUCCCUGUCUCUUAUAU
Molecule: ribosomal RNA, 301 nt
Filed under: uncultured bacterium
Lineage: Bacteria
Description: partial 16S ribosomal RNA
Rfam family: Bacterial small subunit ribosomal RNA
Source: RNAcentral